Molecule: long non-coding RNA, 6089 nt
Organism: Pan troglodytes (chimpanzee)
Lineage: Eukaryota; Metazoa; Chordata; Mammalia; Primates; Hominidae
Exons: 2
Source: RefSeq, a predicted model, not a curated record
GCAGGGGGCGGGGGGGCAGGGCUCACGAUGUCACCUGUGGCACAGCUGCUGCAGUGGGCCAGGGAGCUCCAGAUUCCCUGGGUCACCGUCUUACCAGGGCCUGGGUUGGGGCCUGGGUUGGGGCCAUGGGAUCGCAGAAGCAGCACUGGAGGCUGGUGCCCUGUUCCUUCCACCAAAACUGGGCAGACCCUCUCCUCAAGGGAAGGUGCCGGGGGCUGGCUGCAGGCCCUGCCUGAGGCAGAUCUGAUGACCUUGGGCCAGGAAGACAAGGCCAUUUGUGGCCCAAACCCUUUCCUGGGGCUUAUUCUCAAGGAUGUAUCCUGGUGGGGGGUGUCUCCAGGGGUCGGUCUGUAGAAGGAUGCUAGACCCUCUCUGGGAGCUCCUAGCCUAACACGAACAAACAAAAGAACAGCUUGCUGCCCCACGGGUUCCUGGGGCUGGGUGCAGAGCAAGCCUUCACAUUCACUUUCUGAAUGACUGUGCCAAGGGCCAGCUGUGGCCCCCACGAGUACGUCUUCCGGGCAGGAUGUCCCUCGAGAGCUGUGCUUGCCUCUCACCAACUUACCACUAACCCCACUCCCAGGCGGGGCACGGUGGCUCACACCUGUAAUCCCAGCACUUUGGGAGGCCGAGGUGGGCGGAUCACUUGAGGUCCGGAGUUCGAGACCAGCCUGGCCAACGUGGUGAAACCCCGACUCUACUAAAAAUACAAAAAUUAGCCGGGCGUGGUGGCAGGCGCCUGUAAUCCCAGCUACUCGGGAGGGUGAGGCAGGAGAAUCGCUUGAAUCUGGGAGGUGGAGGUUGCAGUGAGCCGAGAUCUCACCACUGCAUUCCAGCCCGGGGGACAGAGCAAGACUCCAUCUCAAAAACAAACAAACAAACAAAAAAGCCAACUACCCCCCAGCCCCCCCCCAACACAGCCCGGAAAAGCAGCCCUGCUGUUUGGAAUCUGACCCCUUAAAGUCCUUCUGUCUGUCCUACCUGGGAGCCUCUAGCUGCUGCCAAAGGCUUUCCCAAGCCCAGCUCUCACAUGUAUCCUGCAAAGGACAGUGGCUGUCCCCUGAGCCUGACUUGGCCAAGGGGCUCUGCAGUGCCUCCCGGGAGGAGGUGAGUCACUGCAGCCGCCUGACCCUCAGCCUUCUCUGGAGCAGGAGGCAGCAGCUGCUUUACAGCUGCAUAAAACAUUAGAGGGAAAUUUAGGACAAAAGAGGAAGACGAUUAGAGCAUCCAAUUUAAACCUAGGGAGGGCAUACGGAACCCAAAACGGCACUGCCCUAAUUCAGGAGCAGAGGGAGGCACGGGCUCUGCAACUGCUGACAAGAACCAAAAUACUCACCCAGUUUUCUUCUGCAAAAGAGACCCAAAGUUGCCUGACAAGACGCCCACAGAUGUCCCAGGCCCCGCGGGAGCCGACCUCCUCCCCAGGGGAUGAUGCAGCCCGCUCCGUGCCCAUGCCAGCUGGCCCAGGGCACAGCAGAUGCCCCAGGUCACCAUCCUUCCAGGGACCUGGCUCAGAGCCAUGGGAUGUUCUGUUCUUUCCGCCAAGACUCUGUGGGCACCGCUGUGGCAGGCCAGAGCAAGGCUGAGAAGUGGCCGGGAAGGAGCCACAUCCAACUGUGCAGGCAGCUCCCCCCAGCUCCCUCCCUGCUCUCUGCUCUCCCUGGACCAACUGGCCCAGCCUAAGGCCGUGCAGGGCCUGGACAGCAGGGUCUGACCCCAGCCUUCCUGGGCCUGGGUCACAACACUCUUGCUUUCGGGUCAGCAUCUGCAAUGGUGCUUCCUCCUGGGGACAGGGGUGUGGCCCCCUUGGCUGGUCAACUCUGCUGUGCCCCUUGGCUCUUGCUGUCCACUGGAGAAGAUGGUCCCAGGGAAGCAGAGGCUGCCCAGAGACGGGGGCUUUCCGUGUGGGGCUUUCGGUAUGGGGCCAGAUGAGCAGGUCUCUAUCUCCAGACCAGCCUUCAGCAACUUCCAGCUGCGAGAUGCGGGCACCCAGUCCUCACUUUAACCACAGGACCACAGAGACGAGGGGAAAAGCAAAACAAGGGAGGCCAAUGGUUUGGGGACCCUGGCUCUGCCCUCAGGAGCACACUGGGCCUGCCUGCCGGGUUGGUCUGUAAGCCAGUGAGCACUCCCCUCCCACCCCACCAUGCACCCAGCAUCUGAGCUGCCAGGGUCCCCUUUGACCCCCGCAGUGCAGGUGUGCUGGCACCAUCGGCCAGAUCCACUGUACUGGGGCCUGGCUUAGCCUCUAGUGGAGUGGGGUCUACCAAAUGACAAUAGGCCAGGGCCGGAGAAACUGAGGAAAGUGAGACCCUCUCAGUGGGGCAGAGCUGCAGGCCCACCCAGAUGCUGCUUUCUUGGGGGAAUUUAGGAAUCUCUGAAGCAAAUGCAUGCUUCAGUUACAGAGUAGUGCUCGAGCACAUUAGCAGGACUUGAAAUGGACAGGCAUUCCUGCCCUGGUCCUGGUAAGGUGAAUUAGCAUAAUAAAAGCAAAUGUGCUCUGCCCAGGGUUUUUGGAAGUGAGGUGGUUUAUGUGAUCUUCAGCUGCCUGUUCCGUCCUUCAGCUUGUAUGUAAGAAGCACCAGGAAACACCCUCCCCCAUGGACACUAAAGCAGGGGCCGUUCUGUCACGGAGCAGCCACCUCCAGAUGGCUGUGCACCUGCACACCUGCUGGCACGCCCUGCCCGGAGCCAGGGCCAGAUCCUGAGCCAGUUCCACAGGCACCAGCAGGUCCCAGGACCUGCAGCUUGGAGCAGAGGAUGGGCUGGGCUCAGGGGCUGCCCCCAGAUUCCAUCGUGGACUCCAGCCUGCACACGGGUCGCCUGCGAUUCGGAUUCAGCAGGUCUGGCCCCGGGACCUUGUGAUUCCAAUGGUUCCACCUCUCUUAGAGGCAGCUGCUCUGCCCUGGGGGUCUCGAGGGACGGAGGGUAGGCAGAGCAUCCAGGAGGCACGAAAGCCCAGGAGAGCAGCGAGGCUCCAGAGCCACUGGAAGAAGGUAGAGGAGGGGGAGGCAGCUGUGGCCAGACGCUAGAGAUUAAGACAGGACCAGGGUCCGGCGCGGUGGCUCACGCCUGUAAUCCCAGCACUUUGGGAGGCCGAGGCAGGCGGAUCACGAGGUCAGGAGAUCAAGACCAUCCUGGCUAACACGGUGAAACCCCGUCUCUACUAAAAAUACAAAAAAAUGGCCGGGCGCGGUGGCUCAGCCUGUAAUCCCAGCACUUUGGGAGGCUGAGGUGGGCGGAUCACAAGGUCAGGAGAUAGAGAUCAUCCUCUGAAUGGCGAAACCCCGUCUCUACUAAAAAUAAAAAUAAAAAUAAUUAGCCGGGCGUGGUGGUGGGCGCCUGUGGUCCCAGCUACUUGGGAGACUAAGGCAGGAGAAUGCCAUGAACCCGGGAGGCGGAGCUUGCAGUGAGUCGAGAUCGCGUCACUGCACUCCAGCCUGGGUGACAGAGCGAGACUCCGUCUCAAAAAAAAAAAAAAAAGCCUGGACCAGGAACUGGGGGCGGAUUUGGAGCAAAUGUUACUCCAAGUGACCUCCAGACCCUAGUGACCUUGUCCAGCCAUAGAGACCAUCCCUGCAUCAUUGACCCCAGCCCAGUCUGGCCCUCACUCCCUGGACACUUGAGAAUCCAGCAGCAACUGCCUGUCCCUACUUGGGUGGCCACAGCAGGCCAUUCGUCUCGAUCUUCCCUAUCCCAGGACAUGGCGUGGCCUUCACGGGCCCACCUGCCCGGCCUCAGUCCGAACGCUUCCCACCUCCCCUUCCCUCCCAGCCCUCCUCAUUCCUCCGGGUUCCACCUUCACAGCCCCUCCACCGCCACCCCCACCCUCACUGGACCCCAGGGAGGGAACCCAGCAGGUCUCAUAGAGCCCUCUCCCCGGCAGCCAGACCUCAGAGGCUCCCCUCCAGCCGCUAGCUCCAACGAGGCGGAGUCCUGGCCCAGGCUCUUCCUUCGCCACCUCUGCCUCCUCCAUGGCAGACCUGGAUUUCUUUUUUAACCAGCCUGCCACCCCUGCUACUAGAACAGGAGCCCCAGAUGAGCAGGGGCCAGUGACUUGUUCUCAAAGGGGCCAAAUGCCUUCCUGGUCACUCCUGGGAGUCAGGGGUGCCGGCCCGCCCACGUAGCCCAGAGGGACGGAGGGCCUCACCUGCAGCCCUGCUGGCCACUUUCCCUCUGGGCCAGCUGGACCCCAAAUCUGGCCCUUCGGGGAACCCACAGAGGCCUCUGCUGUGUCUACCGGGUUCCUGGCUCCUCCAGCAAAUUGUGCCUCCUCGUCCGGGGUGUGGGGGGAUGUAAGUUCAGCCGCAUCAAGGGCCCUGAGGAGGGAGCCUCGUGCUGGGAGAGCCACCGGAGCUCAGAGACAGCUUCCCUGAAGUCCCGAGUUGGGCCCUGGGGAUGUGCUGGAGCUCACCUGCUGCUGCAGGGAGAUGGGGGUCCUGGCAGAGGAGCUGCGGGUGCAAAGGCCCUGUGUCUGUCAGCGGGUGCAAAGGUCCUGUGUCAGCAGCUCAGGGAGAGCCCAGUGUACUGCAAGAGACAGCGUGGGUGGGGGGACCAAGGCUGAGGAGUGGGCGAGAUCAGCAGCUCAGGCUGGGAGGGACAUCUCUGAGCACAGAGGGACAGUUUCACUACAGGGCAAACGGGGUCCUUCUGGCCUCCUGGAGCUAGUCCUGUCCCCUCCACACAGCCCAGUGCCUGGUAUGGACACAGGCCUCAAAGGGUCAGCCCAGCAGGCAGAGGCGGGAGCUGCUGGGAUCAGCACGCUGGGCUUCGUGGUGGUCACAGCAGGGACACCCAAAAGAGCCGCCAGGAUGGCAAGUGUCCCUGGCAUCUGAGGCCCAUAGAAGUGCCCUUUGCCCAGCAGGAUCGUAGACAGGAUGGGGACCCCCCAAGGGGUGGAGGGCCCAGGGCAGUCUGGCCCAGGCUUUGAACCCAUUCACUAGAAUAACCGUCCUAAAGAAAGAAAUGGCAGUGGGGGAGUGACCAGGGGCCCGAGCCAGCUCUGCGGGAGAUGUAGGGCCUUGCAGAGUCACGAACACCUGCCUGCAUCUCCCAUUGUCCUGCAGGUGGGCGGAGCCGCACCCAGUGCAGCCGGUGGUGGGGGCGGGGCCAGCUGGGCUUGGUCUUGCAAACUGCACAUCUUCUAGGAACUGGCUCCAGAACCAAAGCGGAGGUGGUUUUCCCCGGAGCUGCCUCAGGACCCCGAGGGGGUGGUGUUCAAGGUGGACUCCCCGGGGGCCUGCCAAGGCCUGAUGUUCUGAGUGGGGCUUUGGCUGGAGUGUGGCCUCAGUCCCUGGGUGGACAGGUGGGUGAGGCCCUGUGCAGUGUCCUGGGCCAUUCUGCUGUGCACAGCUCUCGUCCCCUGGGCUCUGGGGCCCCCUGGCCCCUCACUCUCUUCCAGGACUCAGCAGGCACCACCCUGGGCUCCUGGGUUGACUUCCUACGGUAGGAGGAGGCUGCCCCCUGGAGCAGCCUGGGGGCUACAGGAUUGGGAAAGUUUUAGUAAAAAAAAGGGGCAGUAGGCUCAAUUUGAACCCCACGCUGGAGGUACCAGCCAAAACCCCAACUGCAGAAACACAGGGCCUGGCUUCUACUCCAAGUAUGGGGGCUGCACCCAGGGCCCAGGGUGAGGCUGGUGGGCCCAGCUUAGCCCCCAGUCGCAAGGGCCAGCUCAGCUGCUCCGCUCUCGGCCCCCUCAGGCUGGCACAGAGUGGGGCCCUGACAAGGGGCCCUGUGGGAGCAGCCGGGGCUUUCCUGGAGCCUCUCUCUAGGGUGGAUGGGAGCGAAAUCGACACACUGAUAUGUAACCAUGGAUUAUGACGGAAGAAAGGAGCGAGCACUCAGAAAACAAAAAGGGGGCCUCGCGCAGGGCAUGGAGGCGGCGCUGCUGGUAAAAUCCUGAGCACUGGGAAGCAGGGGAGACAGCCCCGCGGGGACGAAGGCUGCUUGGGAGCUGGGCGUGGCGGACGCACAGCCCCGGGAAUGUGCUAAAUGCCACGGAGUUGUUCAGUUGAUAGUGGUUGCUGUCAGUUAGGUGAAUCUCACCUCGAUUUAAAAAAAAAGGCAAAAAAAAAAAAAAAAAAAAAGAA